GCUGUUCAGUUUGUGGACAUGGUGAAGGGGAAAUCUCUCACGGGGGUUGUGAAUGCCCAGGCCCUUACCAGUGCCUUCUCUCCACACACCAAGCCUUGGAUUGGUCUGGCAGAAGCUCUGGGGACACUGAUGCGAGCCUGGGCUGGGUCCCCCAAAGGGACCAUCCAGGUGAUAACACAGGGAACAUCCCUGAAGAAUGCUGGGAAUUGCCUAAGCCCCGCAGUCAUUGUCGGUCUCCUGAAAGAGGCUUCCAAGCAGGCGGAUGUGAACUUGGUGAACGCCAAGCUGCUGGUGAAAGAGGCUGGCCUCAAUUCGCCUUGCCUUCUCCACACAGGUCACCACCUCCCACAGCCCUGCUGCACCAGGGGAGCAAGGCUUCGGGGAAUGCCUCCUGGCCGUGGCCCUGGCAGGCGCCCCUUACCAGGCUGUGGGCUUGGUCCAGGGCACUACACCUGUACUGCAGGGGCUCAAUGGAGCUGUCUUCAGGCCAGAAGUGCCUCUCCGCAGGGACCUGCCCCUGCUCCUAUUCCGGACUCAGAC
This 540-nucleotide small RNA is filed under the name Pongo abelii (Sumatran orangutan). RNAcentral describes it as "processed transcript". Lineage: Eukaryota; Metazoa; Chordata; Mammalia; Primates; Hominidae. The record is from RNAcentral.